AAUCGAUUGACAAUCCUACUUCAGUGUUGUGUAGAUAUAAAGAUGUCCGUGGGUCUGACAAACAGAUGGAGGAGGCUCGUCAUCUGCUGCAGGAGCUGAGAGACAACAAACUACCCAUGUGUAUACCAGACAAGUGUCACAUGACCUACUCAAUACAAUGGUCGGAUAAAGGUGUGGAUCCCGCCACGGUAAAGGAACACAAGAACUACAUCGACCAGUUGUGUGAAGACUUCGAGAAGACGAUGUCG
Haliotis rubra (blacklip abalone) is the source of this 248-nucleotide long non-coding RNA. RefSeq lists it as uncharacterized. The transcript is spliced from 3 exons. The record is from RefSeq and is a predicted model, not a curated record. Lineage: Eukaryota; Metazoa; Mollusca; Gastropoda; Lepetellida; Haliotidae.